RNAcentral lists this transfer RNA (77 nucleotides) under Rhodocyclus purpureus. RNAcentral describes it as "tRNA-Met". It matches the Rfam family "tRNA". Rfam says of the family: Transfer RNA (tRNA) molecules are approximately 80 nucleotides in length. Their secondary structure includes four short double-helical elements and three loops (D, anti-codon, and T loops). Further hydrogen bonds mediate the characteristic L-shaped molecular structure. tRNAs have two regions of fundamental functional importance: the anti-codon, which is responsible for specific mRNA codon recognition, and the 3' end, to which the tRNAs corresponding amino acid is attached (by aminoacyl-tRNA synthetases). tRNAs cope with the degeneracy of the genetic code in two manners: having more than one tRNA (with a specific anti-codon) for a particular amino acid; and 'wobble' base-pairing, i.e. permitting non-standard base-pairing at the 3rd anti-codon position. RNAcentral also lists the same sequence under 1 other name. The record is from RNAcentral. Lineage: Bacteria; Pseudomonadati; Pseudomonadota; Betaproteobacteria; Rhodocyclales; Rhodocyclaceae.
GGGCCUGUAGCUCAGUCGGUUAGAGCAGAGGACUCAUAAUCCUUUGGUCCAGGGUUCGAACCCCUGCGGGCCCACCA